GACGAACGCUGGCGGCGUGCUUAACACAUGCAAGUCGAACGGGGAGUUAGCAAUAACUCCUAGUGGCGAACGGGUGAGUAACGCGUAGACAACCUGCCCUCUAGCCGGGGACAACACCGCGAAAGUGGUGCUAAUACCGGAUGUACUAUCUUAGGAGCAUUCAUGAGAUAGCAAAGGUGGCCUCUAUAUAUAAGCUACCGCUAAAGGAUGGGUCUGCGUCUGAUUAGCUAGUAGGCGGGGUAAAAGCCCACCUAGGCGACGAUCAGUAGCCGGUCUGAGAGGAUGAACGGCCACACUGGGACUGAGACACGGCCCAGACUCCUACGGGAGGCAGCAGUGGGGAAUAUUGCACAAUGGGCGAAAGCCUGAUGCAGCAACGCCGCGUGAGUGAUGAAGGCCUCGG
Molecule: ribosomal RNA, 403 nt
Filed under: uncultured bacterium
Lineage: Bacteria
Description: bacterial SSU rRNA
Rfam family: Bacterial small subunit ribosomal RNA
Source: RNAcentral